Molecule: long non-coding RNA, 747 nt
Filed under: Malus domestica (apple)
Lineage: Eukaryota; Viridiplantae; Streptophyta; Magnoliopsida; Rosales; Rosaceae
Description: long non-coding RNA (MDOM_LNC011699)
Source: RNAcentral
GCUUUCUCUCUCGCUUUGCUAUCUAUGUAAACCCGAGAGAAAUUCCAUGGAAACAUCACGCCUGCAAACGAAGUUGCAGGCCCACACACAAGCAAACUCCAUCUGAAAGCCGAAGAAUCCAAAGGUAAAUCCCUUCGAACUCUUCGAUUAUGAACGUCCAUCGUCUUCCUCCUUAUCUUCUUCUUCUGCUGCUGCUUCGACCAGUAGGGAUACUUGAGGCCCGAAUCGAACGGUCAGGGUUUUGAUGGAGGGUUUGGCGGGUCCGACGAUCCGAUUUUGCCAGCGCCGUCGGAGAUGCUGCCUGAGAAGGGCUUCGCUCUCAGAGAAUGGAUGAGGUAGGGUCUCGAAUUCUGAUUGUUUUCGAUUGAACCGAUAGUUCUGUAUAGCAAUUAAAUUUUGACUCUUUUGUGCAAUUUAGUUGAAAGUUGUUGGUUUUGAUUUGGUUCUACUCUUUUAGUUGAAAGUAGUCAUUUAAGAACAUUUUAAAUAUUUUUGGGGUAGAGCAAAAGUCCAAUUCGAACUAGAGGGUUGAGCGGGAUUUUGGGGGUAGGGUUCUGAGGGAAUGGGCCGCGGGCCGCGGUGACAGGGAGAGUGCAAUUCGAGGGACAGAAAGAGAGAGGGUUGUGUGGUCAUCAGUCCUCUUUUACCUCCAUGAUCCAUUAGCUUUUUCUCUUUUGUGCUUUUUUCAUUGUCAUAGACUCUAAUCUCUCUCUGUUUUUUCUCUCUCUAAAUUGGUAAAAAUAACUU